CCCCUAGAUGUUCUGGGCCGCACGCGCGCUACACUGAACAGUUCAACAAGUCUUAACCUUGGCCGAUAGGUCUGGGUAAUCUUUGAACGCUGUUCGUGAUUGGGAUAGACCUUUGCAAUUAUGGGUCUUCAACGAGGAAUUCCUAGUAAACGCAAGUCAUCAGCUUGCAUUGAUUACGUCCCUGCCCUUUGUACACACCGCCCGUCGCACCUACCGAUUGGAUGGUUCGGUGAAAAUCUCGGACUCUGACAGUGCAGCCGCAAGGCCGUGUUGUCGGGGGAAGUUAUUUAAACCUCAUCAUCUAGAGGAAGGUGAAGUCGUAACA
RNAcentral lists this ribosomal RNA (325 nucleotides) under uncultured eukaryote. RNAcentral describes it as "partial 18S ribosomal RNA". It matches the Rfam family "Eukaryotic small subunit ribosomal RNA", at positions 1470 to 1796 of the family's 1831-position model. The record is from RNAcentral.